Molecule: long non-coding RNA, 616 nt
Filed under: Monodelphis domestica (gray short-tailed opossum)
Lineage: Eukaryota; Metazoa; Chordata; Mammalia; Didelphimorphia; Didelphidae
Description: lncRNA (ENSMODG00000050830.1)
Source: RNAcentral
UACUUCUGACAUUCUAUGCAUUUCAACUAUGGGAAACCAUUUGAAAGUCGAGCUGGGGAAUUCACUAAAUCAGUUAAGCCCAAUUAGAGGAAGCCCUACUUACUGAGUGGAAGGAAUCUCCCUUCUCUGAGAAUAUCAAAAGAGUUUCCAUCUUUGAGGCAUUGAAUUCAAGUGCGCACAACUUGAGAAGCACCCAGUGGAGCAUGGAGCGAAAAAGACGGAACCUGCAGGUGGCCUCUCAGAUUUUGGAAACCAUCCCUGCCUCCAGAGAGGACCUGAGAAAAGAAAGACCUGAGAAUGAGCUUGGCCUGAGGCUGGACACCCUGCUGUUAGGGAAGGAUCAGGGACCUCCAACCACCACCACCAACAACAACAACUUAACCUGAGUCAAAAAAGAGGUUGUGUGCUGAUUUUGACUAUCAGAGAGCAGGUCUUUACCCUCUGUUUCCAGUAGCCAGCUGCUUUCUCAAUCUCACACAUUCUGAGGAUGAUAGCACUGUUGUCCUACUGCCAAGUUCUGCUUUCCUUUUCCAGCAUCAAAGAACCUGACCCCUUUUUCUUUUUUUUUUUUAAAACCACACCAAAAAUAAAAUAAAUAAAUAAAGACUGCGCUUCA